UCCAGAAAAACAUUAAUCCAAAAAGGCAAGCUCUCAGGUGAAUUACUUUAAUCUGAGUAUAUUUCCUAAUACAACAAUUUGCAGCAAUGAUGUUGUCAAUGAAGAAUGUGUUUCCUUACUGGGACUUGUGCAAGAAGAGAGUGAUUUAGAGCUUAUGGCCAGUGAAAGAACAAAAUGACUUCUGCUCUGCUGGAACCCAGAGAUGAAGUGUGCUGACUUCUGGACUAACUUAUCACCACAAUUGGAGACCUAACUUACCCUCACAGACUUUGAGAACAAGGACCACACCCUUGUAUUCCCAGUACCAAAUGCUCUGUGCCUCUCACAGAGGGGUGCUGAAUAAAUAGGCAAAUGAAGGAA
Macaca mulatta (Rhesus monkey) is the source of this 360-nucleotide non-coding RNA. NCBI's taxonomy places the organism in Eukaryota, Metazoa, Chordata, Mammalia, Primates, Cercopithecidae. The record is from RefSeq and is a predicted model, not a curated record.